GUGGGGAAUCUUGCGCAAUGGGCGAAAGCCUGACGCAGCCAUGCCGCGUGAAUGAUGAAGGUCUUAGGAUUGUAAAAUUCUUUCACUGGGGACGAUAAUGACGGUACCCGGAGAAGAAGCUCCGGCUAACUUCGUGCCAGCAGCCGCGGUACUACGAAGGGGGCUAGCGUUGCUCGGAAUUACUGGGCGUAAAGGGCGCGUAGGCGGACAGCUUAGUGAGAGGUGAAAGCCCAGGGCUCAACCUUGGAAUUGCCUUUGAUACUGGCUGUCUUGAGUUAGGGGGAGGUGAGUGGAACUCCGGGUGUAGAGGUGAAAUUCGUAGAUAUUCGGAAGAACACCAGUGGCGAAGGCGACUCACUGGCCCAAUACUGACGCUGAGGCGCGAAAGCGUGGGGAGCAAACAGGAUUAGAAACCCUGGUAGUCC
RNAcentral lists this ribosomal RNA (425 nucleotides) under uncultured bacterium. Its description in RNAcentral is "partial 16S ribosomal RNA". It matches the Rfam family "Bacterial small subunit ribosomal RNA", at positions 354 to 796 of the family's 1533-position model. The record is from RNAcentral.